AAUGGCAGGUCAGCAUACUGCCGUGAAUACGUUCCCGGGCCCUUGUACACACCGCCCGUCACACCAUGAGAGUUGGGAAUACCCGAAGCCUGUGAGCUAACGUAAGAGGCAGCAGUCGAAGGUAGAAUCAAUGAUUGGGGUGAAGUCGUAACAAGGUACC
RNAcentral lists this ribosomal RNA (160 nucleotides) under uncultured bacterium. RNAcentral's name for it is "partial 16S ribosomal RNA". It matches the Rfam family "Bacterial small subunit ribosomal RNA", at positions 1340 to 1500 of the family's 1533-position model. The record is from RNAcentral.